This is an RNA transcript of Chroicocephalus ridibundus (black-headed gull), 3899 nucleotides long. It is a transcript of the gene named sideroflexin 1, with no coding region annotated. The record is from RefSeq and is a predicted model, not a curated record. NCBI's taxonomy places the organism in Eukaryota, Metazoa, Chordata, Aves, Charadriiformes, Laridae. The transcript has 12 exons.
GCCCCCUGCCCGGCCCUGCCCGGCCCCGCCGGGGCGGAGCGAAGCGGCGCGGGGCGGCCCCGCCGCCUCCCCGGCCCCUCGCCCGCGGCGCCCAGCGAGCCUCUUCCGGGCGGCGGGCCAGGGGCGGCGCGGAGCCGGCAGCGCGGCGGGUGCGGGCAGUGUGUGGCAGCGGCACGGAUCCCAGGCCUGAAGGAAACAAGCCUCCCUGCUGGGGGAUCGCCUUUUCCAGGAGAGGAGCGCACAGAAUAACUUGGAGAGUUUUUGAAGAUGUCAGCAGAUAUACCCUUAAAUAUUAAUAUCAAGGAGCCCCGAUGGGACCAAAGCACUUUUGUUGGACGAGCCAGUCACUUCUUUACUGUAACAGACCCCCGGAAUAUUUUGUUAUCUGAUGCCCAGCUGGAAAACGCAAGAAAAAUUGUGCAUGAUUACAGACAAGGUAUCGUGGCACCUGGCUUGACAGAAGAUGACUUGUGGAGAGCAAAAUACAUCUAUGAUUCAGCCUUUCACCCAGACACUGGUGAAAAGAUGGUCUUGAUUGGCCGAAUGUCAGCUCAGGUACCCAUGAACAUGACUAUCACAGGUUGUAUGAUGACCUUUUAUAGAACGACACCAGCGGUGGUUUUCUGGCAGUGGAUUAACCAGUCCUUCAACGCUAUAGUCAAUUACACGAACAGGAGCGGUGAUGCCCCGAUUACUGUCAGCCAGCUGGGAACAGCCUACGUUUCUGCUACCACAGGUGCUGUUGCAACAGCUUUAGGACUUAACGCACUAACAAAGCACGUCUCACCUCUUAUAGGGCGGUUUGUUCCUUUUGCUGCUGUUGCUGCUGCUAACUGCAUUAAUAUUCCACUAAUGAGACAAAGGGAGCUCAAGUUUGGCAUCCCAGUCACGGAUGAGAACGGAAACAGACUGGGUGAAUCCACAAAAGCAGCUCAGCAGGCAAUUACCCAGGUGGUCAUAUCAAGGAUUCUUAUGGCUGCUCCUGGCAUGGCAAUUCCUCCCUUCAUAAUGAAUACGUUGGAAAAAAGAGCCUUUUUAAAGAUCAGCAAAAACGAGCGAUUUCGUCAGUGGCUACUCAGUGGUCUUUGGUACCAUCGUGACCGUUUAUGCUCACCCGUUCCUCCCCCUCAGCCUCAAAGACUGUGAGUUGAGGUGAAACACUGCUCUGCAGGUAGCCAGUGGUAACACCUGGUAGAGAUUAGUAUUAAAACCAUUGAGGAAUGAGCUGCAUUUUUAACAAGCAGCUUCUGCAUGUUCUCGUGAGGUCUGAGAAGCACCAUCCCAUUUGCAGUACUCCAGCACCAUCCACGCGACGCUUUACUAACUGAUUUUUCUUAAGCCUUUGCUUUGCACACCGUCACUCUGGAAAAUAAUUCUCGUACACUUGCCAAAGCCCAUUAAAGCAACACACAGGGCCAGAAAAUAGUCCAAUGGUAGUGAAAUAAUGAAGGAAAUAGACUGAUGUUCUGCAGUAAGAUAGAGAGAAAGAAAUGCUCCUGGAAUGCUGGCCUCGGCGAUAGCAGGCUGUCCGCCUCUGGGAUUUGAAAGAAGGUGUCGGAUAUGGAGCGCUGCUCAUCCCCCGUAUUCUGACAUCGUUUGGCAUGAGGACAUUUCGAUGGCAACGUUAGUAUGAAUUAACAAUAUUCCCAAAAGUUAUUGCUAGAAAAUGGCUGAAGAAUGUUUUUAGAACACGAGCACGUACUUGCUGCUUCAAAAAGAAUCUAAUUAUUUCUUGACUUGAAAAAGUAUUUUUUAUAUAUAUAUAUUUACGCGUGCUUUUGCUAUAGGUUUCAGUAGUGGCUUUUGCGGCCUUUUCUGCGAUUACACAGUGCUGCAGUUCUUGACCGGGCUGUCUGACGUCUGUGUUCGUUGUCCCUGCGGGCGCCCACCUCACCAGCUCUGUGCAGAACCAGGCGGUUCUGUCUGCUGCAGCAGAAGGGUCCGUAAACAACCGUGCUCUGAGGCGCAGCAUGUACAGAUUUAUUUUAGUUACAGGUAACCUCUCCUAAGGAAAUAAAUUGGGUUUUGCCAUAGAAACUUCUGAAAAUUUGAAUCGCACUGAAGUUUUAAUUUAUGACUCUCACAGCUUCAGCUGCUGUUUCUCUCCUGUUCUACGUACUGUAUUGAACAUUCAAGUUGAUUCCAGAAAUUUCCUCAUAUGUCCUUAAAACAAGCUCCUUGAGGUCUCUUAGUCUGCAACUAAAAUAUCUAUUCAAAACUGUUACAAAACCAGAACAGAGAGCCUUUUUUAUUUUUUUUUUAAAGCAUCAUUAUUGAAUGUCUUAUGCCUUAGAGUCCUCAGGGCAUUCCUAAUGUAACUGUCGUUUCAUUUAUUCAUUUUUUUUUAAAACAGGCAUAGCUAGUCUGGGAAUGCUGACAGAUUUUGAGAUCCAACAAUGAGAGGAAGCAGUUAGAAAAAAGCUCAUUCUCCUUAUGGCUUUUGUUUGCUUAAUUAUCAUUUCUCCAUUUUCUCUGUUUGCACUAACCACUAAAGACGCCAUAAAGACAUCUGGAACUUAAAUCCUAAUUCAUCGGGAACGGCCUUCUUCCGGAGUUAAACGAUAGAUCUCUAACACAGUAAAUUCUUCUGCUGUCUUGUGCUUUUCCGUUUUAUCUCUUCGUAGGGAUGUACAGCCUGCGUUUGGGUUUUGCUUUGUUGUUUUACACUGUUCCUGGCCGACUCCAAUUCCUCCUCUUGACCCCCAGCAUUAAGAGUUUUACCUCACCGUCUUUCUUGAUUAGUGCAGCCUGGGAACGUUCCUGAAAAAUAAAGGCUGUGACUCAGACCAAGGACCUUGGCAAAAACCGUUCCUCCACACGAAACUGAUGUUGCUUGUAUUGUCUGUGCUGGCAGACACCUCUCUGUCUCAGACUAAUGACCAACUCGGAUAAAGGCAUGAAACCAUCCGUUGCUCUCGUCACACUCUCCAACAGCCUUUUCAGUUAUAAAAUCAUAUUUGGGGCUUUUCCGUUACGUGUCUCGGGUCCCACACUCACACCGCAGUGCGUGGCGUCCCUUUCCCUUAAUUCUCCUUAGGGACAGGAGUCAUUUGCAGAGUUUGACUUGUGCUCCCCAAUAACACGCCGUAUUCACCAGUGCCGCAGUCCUGCCUGCCUUGCACGGUCAGUCACACCAGCUCUCCUCAUGACCUCUCCCAGUGUAUAAAAUUUAAGCCUUUUGAGUGAACUUAUCUCAGCGAAGAGUCAGACGAAUGUGUGUUCAGUGGAAUGCCAGAACGGCAAAGCGCUGCUGCAUUCACUUUAUCCUUCUUGCUAUUGCUGUCUGUUUCCGUUUGUUAUCUCUUGUUGCAGGUGAUUGCUGAGUUGCACAGUUCUUCCUACAUUAAUUUCUGGAUUACAGAUUGACUCCGGGAAAAAUAAAAAAAAAAGGAGAUAGAGAAGCAAUCUUCUACGUCGUUUCUUCUCCUUCAGGCUUUGGAGAAAGUUUAAUCUACACAAAACUGUUUUCCACGGCUCUUACGCUGCUGCGACCUUCCCUUAGCACCAAGCCUUGUCCCAUUGAGCUUUCUAAAUUUCCUUUUAUCAUUUCUGCUCUCCAAUACUGACGGUCUUGCGUUCGCCAGUUUCCCCCUAACUUCCGUGUCUUGACAAAUGCUUCUUGCAGAAAAACAUCGUCUUUGUUGAAAACAUCAUCCACUGUAACAUGUGAUUUUUAACUCAUUAGCUGUUUUGAUUUAAAAUCAACUUCUUGUUAGCACAGCAGUUGUGUAUGUCCUGCUCAAUGGAGACACCGAGUUUAUUGUAGCAACAGAGGCCGUUGCAGCAGUGUCAUUUAAACAGAGAUUUCCUUGGAUGAGUGCUCCAAUUCAAGUUGGAUUAGUCGGAUUCUGCCUUGUGUUUGCAACACCCCUGUGUUGUGCACUGUUUCCUCAAAAAAG